GAUGAAGAACGCAGCGAAAGUGCGAAACGUAAUGUGAAUUGCAGAAUUCAGUGAAUCAUCGAAUCUUUGAACGCACAUUGCGCCCGCCAGUAUUCUGGCGGGCAUGCCUGUCCGAGCGUCAUUUCAACCCUCAAGCCCCCGGGCUUGGUGUUGGAGAUCGGCGAGCCCCCCGGGGCGCGCCGUCUCCCAAAUAUAGUGGCGGUCCCGCUGUAGCUUCCUCUGCGUAGUAGCACACCUCGCACUGGGAAACAGCGUGGCCACGCCGUAAAACCCCCCACUUCUGAAAGGUUGACCUCGGAUCAGGUAGGAAUACCCGCUGAACUUAAGCAUAUCAAUAAGCGGAGGA
This 346-nucleotide unclassified non-coding RNA is filed under the name soil metagenome. RNAcentral's name for it is "partial contains 5.8S ribosomal RNA, internal transcribed spacer 2, and large subunit ribosomal RNA". The stretch from base 1 to 121 matches the Rfam family "5.8S ribosomal RNA", at positions 35 to 154 of the family's 154-position model. The record is from RNAcentral.